RNAcentral lists this ribosomal RNA (243 nucleotides) under uncultured bacterium. RNAcentral's name for it is "partial 16S ribosomal RNA". It matches the Rfam family "Bacterial small subunit ribosomal RNA", at positions 524 to 762 of the family's 1533-position model. The record is from RNAcentral.
UACGUAGGGUCCGAGCGUUGUCCGGAUUUACUGGGCGUAAAGGAUGCGUAGGCGGACAUUUAAGUCAGAUGUGAAAUACCCGAGCUUAACUUGGGUGCUGCAUUUGAAACUGGGUGUCUAGAGUGCAGGAGAGGUAAGUGGAAUUCCUAGUGUAGCGGUGAAAAUGCGUAGAGAUUAGGAAGAACACCAGUGGCGAAGGCGGGUCUCUGGGCCGAUACUGACGCUGAGGGAAGCGAAAAGCGU